GACGAACGCUGGCGGCGUGCCUAAUACAUGCAAGUAGAACGCUGAAGGAGGAGCUUGCUUCUCUGGAUGAGUUGCGAACGGGUGAGUAACGCGUAGGUAACCUGCCUGGUAGCGGGGGAUAACUAUUGGAAACGAUAGCUAAUACCGCAUAAUAGCAGUUGUUGCAUGACAACUGUUUGAAAGGUGCAAUUGCACCACUACCAGAUGGACCUGCGUUGUAUUAGCUAGUUGGUGGGGUAACGGCUCACCAAGGCGACGAUACAUAGCCGACCUGAGAGGGUGAGCGGCCACGCUGGGAGGGAGACACGGCCCAGAAGACUACGGGAGGCAGCAGUAGGGGAUCGUCGGGAAUGGACGGAAGGCGGACCGAGCAACGCCGCGUGAGUGAAGAAGGUUGUCGGAUCGUAAAGGUCGGUUGUAAGAGAAGAACGAGUGUGAGAGUGGAAAGUUCACACUGUGACGGUAUCUGACCAGAAAGGGACGGCUAACUACGUG
Molecule: ribosomal RNA, 495 nt
Filed under: uncultured bacterium
Lineage: Bacteria
Description: partial 16S ribosomal RNA
Rfam family: Bacterial small subunit ribosomal RNA
Source: RNAcentral